This 440-nucleotide ribosomal RNA is filed under the name uncultured bacterium. Its description in RNAcentral is "bacterial SSU rRNA". It matches the Rfam family "Bacterial small subunit ribosomal RNA", at positions 338 to 771 of the family's 1533-position model. The record is from RNAcentral.
CCUACGGGGGGCAGCAGUGGGGAAUCUUGCGCAAUGGGCGAAAGCCUGACGCAGCGACGCCGCGUGAGCGAUGAAGGCCUUCGGGUUGUAAAGCUCUGUGGGGAGAGAAGAAUAAGUGCUGGCUAAUAUCCAGCAUGAUGACGGUAUCUCCUUAGCAAGCACCGGCUAACUCUGUGCCAGCAGCCGCGGUAAGACAGAGGGUGCAAACGUUGUUCGGAAUUACUGGGCGUAAAGCGCGUGUAGGCGGCAGGGCAAGUCGGAUGUGAAAGCCCACGGCUCAACCGUGGAAGUGCACCCGAAACUGCCCAGCUAGAGUCUCGGAGAGGAAGGUGGAAUGCUUGGUGUAGAGGUGAAAUUCGUAGAUAUCAAGCGGAACACCGGUGGCGAAGGCGGCCUUCUGGACGAUGACUGACGCUGAGACGCGAAAGCGUGGGGAGCAA